CACUAAUCCCACAAAUGAUUCUGCUCCUUGGAUUCCUUUCCCUCACAUCACAUCCGCCCUUUUCAUCCACCUGAACUGCAUGAGAAACUUGUUCGAUGCAUUCACAGGAACGAUGCAGCAUCUGUCUGGCUUUAAAGUAUAAGGGAUCGAAUAUUAUUGGAAUGCAGGCACUAGAUGGAUUCUAAACAAGAACAUAUGCCCAAUUUGCAAUAGAAAACUCUAGU
Molecule: long non-coding RNA, 224 nt
Organism: Salvia splendens (bonfire salvia)
Lineage: Eukaryota; Viridiplantae; Streptophyta; Magnoliopsida; Lamiales; Lamiaceae
Exons: 3
Source: RefSeq, a predicted model, not a curated record